This 254-nucleotide ribosomal RNA is filed under the name uncultured bacterium. Its description in RNAcentral is "partial 16S ribosomal RNA". It matches the Rfam family "Bacterial small subunit ribosomal RNA", at positions 524 to 776 of the family's 1533-position model. The record is from RNAcentral.
UACGGAGGGGGCUAGCGUUGUUCGGAAUUACUGGGCGUAAAGCGCGCGUAGGCGGACCUGCAAGUCGGGGGUGAAAGCCCGAGGCUCAACCUCGGAAUUGCCUUCGAUACUGCGGGUCUCGAGUCCGGGAGAGGUGAGUGGAAUUCCUAGUGUAGAGGUGAAAUUCGUAGAUAUUAGGAAGAACACCAGUGGCGAAGGCGGCUCACUGGCCCCGGUACUGACGCUGAGGCGCGAAAGCGUGGGGAGCAAACAGG